This 433-nucleotide unclassified non-coding RNA is filed under the name soil metagenome. RNAcentral's name for it is "partial contains 5.8S ribosomal RNA, internal transcribed spacer 2, and large subunit ribosomal RNA". The stretch from base 1 to 120 matches the Rfam family "5.8S ribosomal RNA", at positions 35 to 154 of the family's 154-position model. The record is from RNAcentral.
GAUGAAGAACGUAGCGAAAUGCGAUACGUAAUGUGAAUUGCAGAAUUCAGUGAAUCAUCGAAUCUUUGAACGCAUAUUGCGCUCUCUGGUAUUCCGGAGAGCAUGCUUGUUUGAGUAUCAGUAAACACCUCAACUUCCAUAUCUUUUUUGAAAUGGGAGUUGGACUUGAGUGAUCCCAACGCUUUUCCUCACCGAAAAGUGGCGGGUUACUUGAAAUGCAGGUGCAGCUGGACUUUUCUCUGAGCUAUAAGCAUAUCUAUUUAGUCUGCCUAAAAAACAGAUUAUUACCUUUGCUGCAGCUAACAUAAAGGAGAUUAGUUCUUGUGCUGACUGAUGCAGGAAUCACAAAGACAGGCUUCGGCCGACUUUGUAAACUCGAUCUCAAAUCAAGUAAGACUACCCGCUGAACUUAAGCAUAUCAAUAAGCGGAGGA